Molecule: long non-coding RNA, 383 nt
Organism: Lontra canadensis (Northern American river otter)
Lineage: Eukaryota; Metazoa; Chordata; Mammalia; Carnivora; Mustelidae
Exons: 3
Source: RefSeq, a predicted model, not a curated record
CGCGUGGCCAGGAAGCAUGGCGGCUUCUGUCUGGGAAGAAGGGGACGAGCAGUCUCGGGCCUUUGGCUGGGGCUUUUCUUGGGCGUCUGCGGAGACCGUGGGCGCCAGACCUGCAGGCUGAAGCUUAAAAGUAACAGAUGGAUCCCUGCGGUGGGAACAGUCCCAGCCUUGGUUUCCGAGGCUGGAAAGGAUCCUGCAGAGGCAGAUGGCCCAGUCCACUGCCCUGGGCCUGAAGCGGAGACUUUUGUAUGUAAGUAGAGCCCUUCCAAAUAGACUUGGGUGGGAGGUUUGUUUGCUGCUCCUGCCCCGGGUUUAGGAUUGUGCUGGGGGCAGGGAGAUUUUAACAUGGGUUUGUUCCUUUGGCUGGAUGUCUGCAGUAUGAG